RNAcentral lists this ribosomal RNA (252 nucleotides) under uncultured bacterium. Its description in RNAcentral is "partial 16S ribosomal RNA". It matches the Rfam family "Bacterial small subunit ribosomal RNA", at positions 524 to 776 of the family's 1533-position model. The record is from RNAcentral.
UACGUAGGGCGCAAGCGUUGUCCGGAAUUAUUGGGCGUAAAGAGCUCGUAGGCGGUCUGUCGCGUCCGUUGUGAAAACUCGAGGCUCAACCUCGGGCUUGCAGUGGAUACGGGCAGACUAGAGUGCGGUAGGGGAGACUGGAAUUCCUGGUGUAGCGGUGGAAUGCGCAGAUAUCAGGAAGAACACCAAUGGCGAAAGCAGCUUCUGGGACGGUACUGACGCUGAGACGCGAAAGCGUGGGGAGCGAACAGG